Molecule: ribosomal RNA, 500 nt
Filed under: uncultured bacterium
Lineage: Bacteria
Description: partial 16S ribosomal RNA
Rfam family: Bacterial small subunit ribosomal RNA
Source: RNAcentral
AUUGAACGCUGGCGGCAUGCUUUACACAUGCAAGUCGAACGGCAGCGCGGGCUUCGGCCUGGUGGCGAGUGGCGAACGGGUGAGUAAUACAUCGGAACGUACCCAGUAGUGGGGGAUAGCCCGGCGAAAGCCGGGUUAAUACCGCAUAUGCUCUGAGGGGGAAAGCGGGGGACCGAAAGGCCUCGCGCUAUUGGAGUGGACGGUGGCGCAUUAGCUCGGGGGUGGGGUAAAGGCCUACCGAGGCGACGAUCAGUAGCUGGUCUGAGAGGACGACCAGCGACACUGGGACUGAGACACGGCCCAGACUCCUACGGGAGGCAGCAGUGGGGAAUUUUGGACAAUGGGCGAAAGCCUGAUCCAGCAAUGCCGCGUGUGCGAAGAAGGCCUUCGGGUUGUAAAGCACUUUUGUUUGGAAAGAAAAGGUUUGGGUUAAUACCCUGGACUGAUGACGGUACCAAUCGAAUAAGCACCGGCUAACUACGUGCCAGCCGCCGCGGUAA